Molecule: RNA transcript, 928 nt
Organism: Nomascus leucogenys (northern white-cheeked gibbon)
Lineage: Eukaryota; Metazoa; Chordata; Mammalia; Primates; Hylobatidae
Gene name: elongation factor 1-delta-like
Exons: 2
Source: RefSeq, a predicted model, not a curated record
UUUAUUGAGGAUGGAGUUUUUGGUUUUGUUUUGUUUCCUUUUCUAAAAAAGGAUGAAAACACACCCUUUCCUUAGGCGUCCCGUGUCCCCCUUUUCCUCCUCCCUGGUUGCCGCGUCCUUGGCUGGCGUCAGAAAAAUGGCUACAAACUUUCUAGUACAUGAGAAGAUCUGGUUCGACAAGUUCAAAUAUGGAGAUGCAGAAAGGAGAUUCUACGAACAGAUGAACGGGCCUGUGGCCGGCACCUCCCGCCAGAGCUCAGGCCCGGGGGCGUCUAGCGGCCCCAGCGGAGACCACACCGAGCUCGUCGUCUGGAUCGCCAGUCUGGAAGUGGACAACCAGAGAGACCCGGCUGAACGUGCUGGAGAAGAGCUUGCCCGGCCACCGGGCCACAGCCCCGCAGACCCAGCCCAUGUCUCCCAUGCGCCAAGUGGAGUCCCCGGCCAAGAAGCCAGCCACACCAGCAGAGGAUGACGAGGACGAUGACAUUGACCUGUUUGGCAGCGACAAUGAGGCAGCACAGCUGCAGCAGUACCAAUGAGGCGCGGCUGCGGCAGUACGCAGAGAAGGCCAAGAAGCCCGCGCUGGUGGCCAAGCCCUCCAUCCUGCUGGACUUCAAGCCUUGGGACGAUGAGACGGAUAUGGCCCACCUGGAGGCCUGUGUGCGCUUCGUGCAGCUGGACGGGCUGGUGCGGGGGGCCUCCAAGCUGGUGCCCGUGGGCUACGGUAUCUGGAAGCUGCAGAUUCAGCGUGUGGUGGAGGACAAGGUGGGGACAGACUUGCUGGAGGAGGAGAUCACCAAGUUUGAAGAGCAUGUGCAGAGUGUCGACAUCGCAGCUUUCAACAAGAUCUGAAGCCUGAGUGUGUGUGUGUGCACGCGUGCGUGAGGCCCUGCCACAAUUAAAAACUGAGACCGGCAAAAAAAAAAAA